Molecule: long non-coding RNA, 607 nt
Organism: Myotis daubentonii (Daubenton's bat)
Lineage: Eukaryota; Metazoa; Chordata; Mammalia; Chiroptera; Vespertilionidae
Exons: 2
Source: RefSeq, a predicted model, not a curated record
GGAAACCCUGGAGAUAUUCUCAGAUGACAUUGAGAAGAGGAAGCGCCAGUUCCAGAAGAAGGCUGGAGAGGCGCGCCCUCGAGAGCUCAGGAUUGAGAUGGAAGAAACAGGGCAAGUACCCAGAAGUCCACAUUCCCCUGAGAAUCUACAGCCGUUUCCUGCCUUUAAUUCCUAUACUUGCUCCUCUGGUUCUGCUUUGGGUCCUACCAGCACUGAGGGCCAUGGGGCUGGCUCCAUUUCUCCUCUUAGCAGAAGUCCUCGUUCCCAAGAAGACUUUCUGCUGAUCCCUGGGUCACCCACUGCGAGCCAGGGAAGUCCUUCAUUCUGCAUUGGGAGCCUGGAGGAAGACUCUCCUUCCCUUCGUUUGCCCAGAUGCUGAGAGUUGGCAAAGCAAAAGCAGAUGUGUGGCCCAAAACUGUUCCCAAGAAAGAUGAAAACAGCGUAGUCCCUCCUGCCGUUGUGGACUGUGUUGGGGAGAGUGAUAACUCGGACCGUGUUCCUGUGCCCAGUUUCCAAAAUUCCUUCAACCAAGCUAUGGAAGCAGCCUUCAUGAAACUGGACACGCCUGCUACUUCAGAUGCCCUCUCUGAAGAGAAAGGAGGAAAGA